ACUGAGCUCUUUCAUCCAGACAAGGGUGAGCUAAUGGGAAUAAAAAAGACGGAGGUGUGCAGCAGCGUCUUUGAUGUAUUGAAGUUAGAGCAUUCCCACAAAUCCCAUGCAUUAUUGCUCAUUGAUGGCGGAUCCUUUUUCAUAUGCAUGAGGCAGGAGUGCCAAAUUAUCGUCCUAAUUGGCUCUGACUUGGUAUUCCUUAAUGUUCGUGUUACACUUGUUACAACUUUUUUCCUUUCCUCUAAAUACUACUGACAGUAACAGCUUUGGAGAGGCAGGCUGUCACGUGGCCCCAUGGCGUCACCCUACACUGCAGGCUUAAGUGUGGCUCUGGUCCUGUGCUCUGGUUUCUUGGGAUAGAAUUACAGCUGAGACUGUGCAGUGCGGACCUGCCUGGUUUACUUCAGGGGCAUUGUUGAUUGACACAGAUUCUUGUUCCCUUGUCCUCAGUGGCACCUUUUCUUCCAAGAGGAACAGAGAUAGAGUCUUACAACAGCCAUUAAAUAGAAGAUCCUGGGGUCUACUGGAGCACUGUCCCAUUGGUGGGGAGAAAUAACAAUCAUCAUCAUCAUGUCUCCCUUCCUUUGGAAUUGAUUAGGUAGCUCCUAUAUUCCACAUUCCUCUCACCUGUUGACCACACACAAUUUUUGGUCUUGUAGCUUGGCCACUCAUUUUAGCUCAAUCACUGGUUUAAUUUUUUUAAUGAAAUCACUCAAUCGAUAGAGGCUAACCUCUCGUAGAUGUAAUAAUUCCAACCAUUCUCAAAGAAAUAAUGAAGGGUGGAAUAUUAUGCUUUCUAAAAUAAUGGAAUUUAUUUUUUCUUUAUGCCCACAGCUGUUUAGUCCUAAAGAGGGGGAAGAAAGAAUCUUUCGAUCUUUUGGCAUGUUCCAUGUCCCGUAUUGAUGGUCAUACUUCAGCUUUUUUCUGGUUGUUUAAGAAUUAUGUGGCCAAUAGGCUGCCUUGUAUAUAACAGUGAAAAACACCCAUUACUUGUAUUUGUUUCAUUUUAAGGUUUAGGCAGUUGGAGCAUAGGACAGUAACUGGUUUCCCUUGUUUUCUGGAACCUGCCCCUUGCUCUCUCUUGGGUGAUGCCUCACCCCUGCCCCAGUGUCAGAGCUGCCCUGGGUCCUUCUUCCCUUGAAGGGUCUGAUGAAUGAACCACACAGCUUGUUAGUAUCUCAGUUUGUUAAUCCUCCCGGAGGAAUGUUGGAAAUCUUUAAGGACAAGGACAACCUCUUGUUCCUUUUUACAUUUCCCAUGGUGCUUUGCUCGCAGUGGCCACUACAGACAUGAUUCAUUCAUUGUUUUAAAAAAAGUGUUAACUAGUUAAGUGAAAAUAAAAUGAAACAGCAAAAUGAGACAAACGCCUAGAUCUGAAAGGCUACAAAAUACAGCAGAGGGUUCAGUGGACAUAAGAGGAAAGGAACACAAUGAUAUCCCCAAUCUUGUGAUGGAAUAGAAAAAAAAAAAGUGAUUGGUGUUGAUGUAACACUUUUCUUGGCCAGUUGAACAUUCCAGAGUAGAGGUCAGUUUUGUAGUUAAAUCUGGUAGGAAGAUGUUUCCAACCAGAAGGAAUCAUACUAAAAUUAUUUUAUCACAACAAGCAGUCCAUAACCGAAACUUUAAUUUGUGAGUUGGGAAUCAGGAUAGGAAACCCAAUUUUAUAUUCUUUUUAUAGGAAGAAGAAUCCAUUCCACCACUCAGACUGCUUUCCUCUUUCAUAAUCGUGGCAUACUCUGCCAUUGUUUGUUUAUUUUCCCCACAACUAGAUGGAGAGUGCAAGGACCAUAUUUUACUCAUGUGUAUCCUCAGGGCCUAGCACAAAGUAGG
RNAcentral lists this long non-coding RNA (1830 nucleotides) under Homo sapiens (human). Its description in RNAcentral is "HSALNT0332809". The record is from RNAcentral. Lineage: Eukaryota; Metazoa; Chordata; Mammalia; Primates; Hominidae.